This 255-nucleotide ribosomal RNA is filed under the name uncultured bacterium. RNAcentral's name for it is "partial 16S ribosomal RNA". It matches the Rfam family "Bacterial small subunit ribosomal RNA", at positions 524 to 776 of the family's 1533-position model. The record is from RNAcentral.
UACAGAGGCCCCAAGCAUUAUCCGGAAUCACUGGGCGUAAAGGGUGUGUAGGCGGCUAUGUUAGUCUCUUGUGAAAGAUCCCGGGCUUAACCCGGGAGACGCAAGGGAAACGGCAUAGCUUCGAGGAUAUGAGAGGUAAAGGGAACUCAUGGUGUAGGGGUGAAAUCCGUAGAUAUCAUGGGGAACACCAAAGGCGAAGGCACUUUACUGGCAUACUCCUGACGCUGAAGCACGAAAGCGUGGGCAUCGAAUGGG